Cavia porcellus (domestic guinea pig) is the source of this 127-nucleotide small nuclear RNA. Lineage: Eukaryota; Metazoa; Chordata; Mammalia; Rodentia; Caviidae. The record is from Ensembl.
GUGCUGUGUGAAAGGAGAGUAGUUUAGCACCUCCCUUGACAAAAGAUAGAAGAGGUCCUUGGACCUGACAACAAAUGAAUGGUUAAGGCAUUGCCACCUGCCUCAUGCCAUCUAACCACUGUUUUUU